Molecule: ribosomal RNA, 573 nt
Filed under: Alternaria sp. xz10
Lineage: Eukaryota; Fungi; Ascomycota; Dothideomycetes; Pleosporales; Pleosporaceae
Description: eukaryotic LSU rRNA
Rfam family: 5.8S ribosomal RNA (bases 197-350)
Source: RNAcentral
CUCCGUAGGUGAACCUGCGGAGGGAUCAUUACACAAAUAUGAAGGCGGGCUGGAACCUCUCGGGGUUACAGCCUUGCUGAAUUAUUCACCCUUGUCUUUUGCGUACUUCUUGUUUCCUUGGUGGGUUCGCCCACCACUAGGACAAACAUAAACCUUUUGUAAUUGCAAUCAGCGUCAGUAACAAAUUAAUAAUUACAACUUUCAACAACGGAUCUCUUGGUUCUGGCAUCGAUGAAGAACGCAGCGAAAUGCGAUAAGUAGUGUGAAUUGCAGAAUUCAGUGAAUCAUCGAAUCUUUGAACGCACAUUGCGCCCUUUGGUAUUCCAAAGGGCAUGCCUGUUCGAGCGUCAUUUGUACCCUCAAGCUUUGCUUGGUGUUGGGCGUCUUGUCUCUAGCUUUGCUGGAGACUCGCCUUAAAGUAAUUGGCAGCCGGCCUACUGGUUUCGGAGCGCAGCACAAGUCGCACUCUCUAUCAGCAAAGGUCUAGCAUCCAUUAAGCCUUUUUUUUCAACUUUUGACCUCGGAUCAGGUAGGGAUACCCGCUGAACUUAAGCAUAUCAAUAAGCGGAGGAA